CGCGAAGAACCUUACCUACUCUUGACAUCUACAGAAUCCUGCGGAGACGCGGGAGUGCCUUCGGGAACUGUAAGACAGGUGCUGCAUGGCUGUCGUCAGCUCGUGUUGUGAAAUGUUGGGUUAAGUCCCGCAACGAGCGCAACCCUUAUCCUUGUUUGCCAGCGAGUAAUGUCGGGAACUCCAGGGAGACUGCCGGUGAUAAACCGGAGGAAGGUGGGGACGACGUCAAGUCAUCAUGGCCCUUACGAGUAGGGCUACACACGUGCUACAAUGGCGCAUACAGAGGGCAGCGAACUUGCGAGAGUAAGCGAAUCCCAAAAAGUGYGUMGUAGUCCGGAUUGGAGUCUGCAACUCGACUCCAUGAAGUCG
This 369-nucleotide ribosomal RNA is filed under the name Vibrio sp. RNAcentral describes it as "bacterial SSU rRNA". It matches the Rfam family "Bacterial small subunit ribosomal RNA", at positions 960 to 1328 of the family's 1533-position model. The record is from RNAcentral. Lineage: Bacteria; Pseudomonadati; Pseudomonadota; Gammaproteobacteria; Vibrionales; Vibrionaceae.